GGUUUUAUGGUUGAAUGGUAAGGACACUUGCCUCUCACGCUGGAGCCCCGGGUUUGAUCCCCGGUCGAGGGCUAAGACUU
Non-coding RNA from Rhamnusium bicolor, 80 nucleotides. The record is from the annotation of a GenBank genome assembly. Lineage: Eukaryota; Metazoa; Arthropoda; Insecta; Coleoptera; Cerambycidae.